Molecule: ribosomal RNA, 523 nt
Filed under: uncultured bacterium
Lineage: Bacteria
Description: partial 16S ribosomal RNA
Rfam family: Bacterial small subunit ribosomal RNA
Source: RNAcentral
GACGAACGCUGGCGGCGUGCCUAAUACAUGCAAGUCAAACGAAGCUGUUUUAACUGGUGCUUGCACCGACUUAAACAACUGAGUGGCGAACGGGUGAGUAACACGUGGGUAACCUGCCCCAAAGCGGGGGAUAACAUUUGGAAACAGAUGCUAAUACCGCAUAAUCACAGAAACCACAUGGUUUCUGUGUCAAAGAUGGUUUCGGCUAUCACUUUGGGAUGGACCCGCGGCGUAUUAGCUAGUUGGUAAGGUAAUGGCUUACCAAGGCAAUGAUACGUAGCCGAACUGAGAGGUUGAUCGGCCACAUUGGGACUGAGACACGGCCCAAACUCCUACGGGAGGCAGCAGUAGGGAAUCUUCCACAAUGGACGAAAGUCUGAUGGAGCAACGCCGCGUGAGUGAAGAAGGUUUUCGGAUCGUAAAACUCUGUUGUCGGAGAAGAACGUGUGCGAGAGUAACUGUUCGUGCAGUGACGGUAUCUGGCCAGAAAGCCACGGCUAACUACGUGCAGCCGCCGCAGUAA